GAAAAAGAUAUAAUUAAGAUAUGUUUAUACAUAUAUGUUUAUAUAUAUUCAAAAUUUUAAGAUAUAAUUAAGAGCUUUGCUAGUAAAAGUCGCUCGCACUCUUAUUGUGGUUUUUUUUUUUUUGGUGGUGUUAAAUCUAACGUUUGUUUGAAAUUUGGAGAGGCCCACUUUUAAAAUGUAAAACAAAAAUUUUUAUAAAUUGCUUAUUUACUACUAUCUUUUAUCAUUUGAUAUUUUUCAUGAUUUAUUGUGUUUCAAAAAAUGAUAUUAUUAAAAAAAAAAAAAAAAAAAAAAAAAAACAAAAACCAAAACCGAAAGACUUUAGGCAUUUAGUGAUUUUUGGAUUUAGAAAUUAAAAGAAGCAAGAUUUUAGGUUAUGCCAAAUUGUAAUGACACUAUUUGUAAUAUUUUUUAAAAAAUGAGGAUUUUAUUUAUUAUUAUUAUUUUUUAUAGAGAACUGCACGGUAGUAAAAAGGCAGUCUCGAGAAAUACAGAAAACGUGGGCAAGCCCAACCAAAAGAAAUGCCAUAAGCCAAGAGGGGCUCAGCCCAAUAUAUCAGAAAGCUUUUUGUUUUUUUUGGGAAGGUACCAUAUCAGAAAGCUGUUGGAGAUGACCUUCGUGCAAAAUUAGGGCAUUGAAGUUGCAAUAAAGAGUUUUGGUUGAUAAUCUGCAGAGCUAGCCAGAGAAUGAGUGAACUAAACUGGUUUGAUCUUCACGGUUGAGGUCUAGCUGAGCAGGAGUGUCAAUGGACCUUAGCUUAAGGAUUUGCCUCAACAGAGCUGAAGGAAGGACCCAAUUUCCAUCUCUGACGAGCGCACUGACUUUGGCAAAUUGAGCUUCAGAGAUGGUAUGGAUGGAGAGAUUGUUAAUUCUGCAUGAAAUAGGACUCAAUGGCAUUCAAGCAUCAUACUAGAACAUGGUGGACUCUUCAUUGCCUAUAUGAUGUUUGAUAAAAGGCCUAGCAAUGGACCUUAGCUGCGGCUUUUUUCAUCCAAGUGCUAGAGGGAAUUUUGAGAGUGCCCAGGCACGGGAGAGUAUGACAAGUUCUUUGGUGAUGGAGUCUACAACUGUGCAGGAUGCAGUACUCCUCUCUACAGGUCCACUACUAAAUUUAACUCUGGAUGUGGAUGGCCAGCUUUCUAUGAGGGUCUCCCCGGAGCAAUAAAUCGCACCGUGAGUAUGCUUUUCUAUUUUACCUGUCCAACUUCUUUAUCUCAUCUUAAAAGUACCUUGUUGUAUUAAGUUUGCUUUUAUAGUUAAUGACAUUCUUUUGUGUAUGUCCCUUAUUUAAUGCCUCCUAGUGCAGCUUAUGCCUGCUCAGCAACCUUACUAAUAAGGCGGUUUCUGCUUACCAUUGUCAUUUUCUUCUGUCAAGUUUGAAAUUCGUGUAUAAUAAUAUCACAAAAGCGCUUACCGUGUCUUGUUUGUA
Molecule: long non-coding RNA, 1430 nt
Organism: Cornus florida
Lineage: Eukaryota; Viridiplantae; Streptophyta; Magnoliopsida; Cornales; Cornaceae
Exons: 2
Source: RefSeq, a predicted model, not a curated record